UACAGAGGUCUCAAGCGUUGUUCGGAUUCAUUGGGCGUAAAGGGUGCGUAGGUGGUUGGGUAAGUCAAAUGUGAAAUCCCGGAGCUCAACUCCGGAACUGCAUUCGAUACUGCCCGGCUCGAGGAUUGGAGAGGAGACUGGAAUUCACGGUGUAGCAGUGAAAUGCGUAGAGAUCGUGAGGAACACCCGUGGCGAAGGCGGGUCUCUGGACAAUUUCUGACACUGAGGCACGAAGGCCAGGGGAGCAAGCGGG
This 253-nucleotide ribosomal RNA is filed under the name uncultured bacterium. RNAcentral describes it as "partial 16S ribosomal RNA". It matches the Rfam family "Bacterial small subunit ribosomal RNA", at positions 524 to 776 of the family's 1533-position model. The record is from RNAcentral.